Small nuclear RNA from Lycium ferocissimum, 105 nucleotides. The record is from RefSeq and is a predicted model, not a curated record. NCBI's taxonomy places the organism in Eukaryota, Viridiplantae, Streptophyta, Magnoliopsida, Solanales, Solanaceae.
GUCCCUUUGGGGGGACAUCCUUUAAAAUAGGAACGAUACAGAAAAGACUGAAACGGUCCCUGCACAAGGAUGAAACGAGCAAGUUGAAAAAUGGUCCAAAUGUAC